UCCGGUUUAACACCGGCAGUUUCUUUAGAGUCCCCAACCGAAUUGCUGGCAACACAGGACGAGGGUUGCGCUCGUUGCGGGACUUAACCCAACAUCUCACGGCACGAGCUGACGACAGCCAUGCAGCACCUGAGCUCGCUCCCCUUUCGAGGUCCUCACCCUUUCAGGUUUGUACCACGAGCAUGUCCAACCUGGGUAAGGUUCUUCGCGUUGCGUCGAAUUAAACCACAUGCUCCACCGCUUGUGCGGGCCCCCGUCAAUUCCUUUGAGUUUUAACCUUGCGGCCGUACUCCCCAGGCGGUCAACUUCACGCGUUAGCUUCGUUACCAAGGAAUUGCUUCCCCGACAACCAGUUGACAUAGUUUAGGGCGUGGACUAC
This 379-nucleotide unclassified non-coding RNA is filed under the name uncultured bacterium. Its description in RNAcentral is "contains 16S-23S intergenic spacer region". The record is from RNAcentral.